GAAGAAUUAAAGGUCGAACAGACCUCCAUAUUUAUUUAAAAAUGGCCCCUCAAUUCAACAUCGAGGUCGUAAGUCUUUAAAUAAUAUUAAAUUAUUAUUUAAAAUUACGCUGUUAUCCCUAAAGUAACUCUAAAUCUAUUUAAGAUAAUAUAUUUCAUAAAUAUAUGUUUAAUUUAUUAAAGUUUUUUAAUUACCGCCCCAGCCUAACUAUUAAGAAAUUCUAUUUUCUAUUUUAUAAAUUAAUCUCCAUAGUAAAGUUUUAUAGGGUCUUAUCGUCUUUCUAACUUAGCUAUACUUUUAAAUAUAGAUAUCAAUUUCUAACCCUAAACCUAAAAAGUCAAAAUGUUGUUGACUCUUUCAUCCCAGUUCUCUAUUAUAGAACAAAUGAUUAUGCUACCUUAGCACAGUUAAAAUUCUGCGGCUAUUUACUUCUUUCACUGAGCAGAGUUUACUAGUUUAAAAACUAGAA
This 469-nucleotide ribosomal RNA is filed under the name Macrostylis cf. metallicola BOLD:ADL4492. Its description in RNAcentral is "partial 16S ribosomal RNA". The record is from RNAcentral. Lineage: Eukaryota; Metazoa; Arthropoda; Malacostraca; Isopoda; Macrostylidae.